UACGAAGGGGGCUAGCGUUGCUCGGAAUCACUGGGCGUAAAGGGUGCGUAGGCGGGUCUUUAAGUCAGGGGUGAAAUCCUGGAGCUCAACUCCAGAACUGCCUUUGAUACUGAAGAUCUUGAGUUCGGGAGAGGUGAGUGGAACUGCGAGUGUAGAGGUGAAAUUCGUAGAUAUUCGCAAGAACACCAGUGGCGAAGGCGGCUCACUGGCUCAUAUCUGACGCUCAGGCGCGACAGCGUGGGGAUCAAACAGG
Molecule: ribosomal RNA, 253 nt
Filed under: uncultured bacterium
Lineage: Bacteria
Description: partial 16S ribosomal RNA
Rfam family: Bacterial small subunit ribosomal RNA
Source: RNAcentral